This 305-nucleotide ribosomal RNA is filed under the name uncultured bacterium. Its description in RNAcentral is "partial 16S ribosomal RNA". It matches the Rfam family "Bacterial small subunit ribosomal RNA", at positions 505 to 809 of the family's 1533-position model. The record is from RNAcentral.
ACAUCAGUCGCCGCGGGAAUACGGAGGGUGCAAGCGUUAAUCGGAAUUACUGGGCGUAAAGCGCACGCAGGGGGUUUGUUAAGUCAGAUGUGAAAUCCUCGAGCUUAACUUGGGAACUGCAUUUGAAACUGGCAAGCUAGAGUCUUGUAGAGGGGGGUAGAAUUCCAGGUGUAGCGGUGAAAUGCGUAGAGAUCUGGAGGAAUACCGGUGGCGAAGGCGGCCCCCUGGACAAAGACUGACGCUCAGGUGCGAAAGCGUGGGGAGCAAACAGGAUUAGAUACCCGCGUAGUCCCUGUCUCUUAUAA